CAGGAAUGCACCAUUCUCAAUCAGGAAUCUCACAGCUUUCUUGUUCCUUUCCUUGGCAGCAAUGUGAAGCGGUGUCCCUGGGUUCAACCAAGAAAACAGGGCAUUUCUGUCAAGACUCCAAUAUAAAAUAGCACAGCAGUGCAGGCAAUGGGUCAAGAGGAGGUGGGAACUUACAGCCGCAGGCUCCUUUUGUUCGAGCAUCAAUAUUUGCACCACGUUCCAGUAGUUCAUCCAUGAUUUUAACAUGCCCGCCCUGAGCAGCCAGAUGGAGCGGGGUGGCACCCGGAGAUUUUGGUCCCCAUGCAGGUGCAUUGACAUCCAUCCCCUCAUCCAGGAGACGUCGGACCUAGGCACAAAGAUAAUUUAUCAUCUCACCAAGCGAUUGUAGGAGAACAGUAAGCACUAGGUGAAUACAGGCGACAGGACAAAUAAGAAGAAAACAUCAAAAGUUAACAGAGGGUCAUAUCCCAAGUGUAUAUGUGGCAAUCACCAAAUAUGUGUCCAUGCAGUAUAUUUAUUGCUAGCUGAUGGUAACAAUCACAUGAACAAAGAAAUAGAAACAACAGCCUGUCACAGAUGAAUGUUGGGAAAAUACUUGAGCACCUAGGAUUGAGAACCAGACCGAUCAGCAGAUGAAGGUAUGCAUAUGACAUAGAAUGGUGCAGGUCUGUAUGGGAGCAAAAUUUUGAUACAGGCAUACAAGUCACCAACAAAACUAAACUUUAGAAGUAGUAUUUUGUCCAGAUUCAUGGAUGAGGACGUGUUGCUGGGUUGCUCUACUUGGCUUAACGGGGACAGCUCUACUUGGCUUAACGGGGACAAAAAGGAUUCCUGGUUAUCUUCAUUAGCGUGCAAUUUUGUUUUUCUUUUUGGUGUUUGUGUGCGAUGUGCAUGCACGAUUUAUGUUAGGCAAGGCAAUGCAUGCUACAAUCUCAUGUGCUAGUCUGCCUGCACACAUGGGUAAUUGAUUAUUACGA
Long non-coding RNA from Panicum virgatum (switchgrass), 977 nucleotides. RefSeq lists it as uncharacterized. Lineage: Eukaryota; Viridiplantae; Streptophyta; Magnoliopsida; Poales; Poaceae. The transcript has 2 exons. The record is from RefSeq and is a predicted model, not a curated record.